GGGGAUGUAGCUCAGUUGGCUAGAGCACUUGCAUGGCAUGCAAGGGGUCGUGGGUUCGAGUCCCAUCUUCUCCA
Molecule: transfer RNA, 74 nt
Filed under: Siphonobacter sp.
Lineage: Bacteria; Pseudomonadati; Bacteroidota; Cytophagia; Cytophagales; Cytophagaceae
Also listed under: 2 other names
Description: tRNA-Ala
Rfam family: tRNA
About the family: Transfer RNA (tRNA) molecules are approximately 80 nucleotides in length.
Source: RNAcentral